UUGCUCUUUGACCUCAAAGCUCUCUAAUGAAGAGGAGACAUCCUUUCCAACAAGUAAUUACAGCAGGUGAUUUUAUAACCAAUCUGGCUGAAGCCAAGAUUUUAUCUUUUAACCUUGAUGAGUGAAGCAGCUGGAAAUACUAACUUCUAAAACCAAAGGAUCAAAUUUUCUUUUGGUGCUGUCUUCCUCAGGCCUGGGAAAUACCCUGAAGUAGCUUCUUGGGUUAUGUAAAUGGAAAGCAAGCCAUCUCCUCUAGUUCAAGGUGAAGGCCUGAAAAAAUAGGGGAAAAGCAAGUAGUUGAGAAGACUAUUGUUCAUGCAGCUGCUUGUGAGGUUCAUGGAAGUAGGACGGAGAGGAAUGCUGGGAGUGUGCAGGAAUCUCAAGCACUUCCUGAAGUCAGUGGUGGCAGCAAUGGUGACAGUCAUCAAUACAGGAGAGUGGUGCCCUGUGGAGCCACAUUCUUCUAAGGGUGAAAGGCAACCAAGCUGCAGCAGAUCCAAAAGGCUGAGACAGAAUACAGGGUGGAGGUGGAGGUGGUACUGAUCCUGAAAACAAGAAGCUCCAUCCUGGAUGUUAUUGGAUAUUUGUGGGAAGAAAGAGGUUGCUGCCAUGAGAGCUUAAAUCAUCAUAAUUUCAACAGUAAAAGUAUGAUCUUAAUAUCCAAACUAUAUAAGGAACUUAACUAACAUGAAAAUAAAUAGCCCAAUUAACAAAUGGACCUGAAUAGACAUUUCUCUUUCUUUUUUCUUUUUUUUUUUUCUGGUAUUGGG
Heterocephalus glaber (naked mole-rat) is the source of this 770-nucleotide long non-coding RNA. Lineage: Eukaryota; Metazoa; Chordata; Mammalia; Rodentia; Bathyergidae. The record is from Ensembl.